RNAcentral lists this ribosomal RNA (253 nucleotides) under uncultured bacterium. RNAcentral describes it as "partial 16S ribosomal RNA". It matches the Rfam family "Bacterial small subunit ribosomal RNA", at positions 524 to 776 of the family's 1533-position model. The record is from RNAcentral.
UACGGAGGGGGCUAGCGUUGUUCGGAAUUACUGGGCGUAAAGCGCGCGCAGGCGGUCGUUCAAGUCGCGUGUGAAAGCCCCCGGCUCAACUGGGGAGGGUCACGCGAUACUGAUCGACUGGAAGGCAGGAGAGGGUAGUGGAAUUCCCGGUGUAGUGGUGAAAUGCGUAGAUAUCGGGAGGAACACCAGUGGCGAAGGCGACUACCUGGCCUGUUCUUGACGCUGAGGCGCGAAAGCUAGGGGAGCAAACGGG